Molecule: ribosomal RNA, 420 nt
Filed under: Clostridium botulinum
Lineage: Bacteria; Bacillati; Bacillota; Clostridia; Eubacteriales; Clostridiaceae
Description: bacterial SSU rRNA
Rfam family: Bacterial small subunit ribosomal RNA
Source: RNAcentral
CUACCAUUAAGUUGAGCACUCUAAUGAGACUGCCUGGGUAACCAGGAGGAAGGUGGGGAUGACGUCAAAUCAUCAUGCCCCUUAUGUCCAGGGCUACACACGUGCUACAAUGGUAGGUACAAUAAGAUGCGAGACCGUGAGGUGGAGCAAAACUUAUAAAACCUAUCUCAGUUCGGAUUGUAGGCUGCAACUCGCCUACAUGAAGCUGGAGUUGCUAGUAAUCGCGAAUCAGAAUGUCGCGGUGAAUACGUUCCCGGGCCUUGUACACACCGCCCGUCACACCAUGAGAGCUGGUAACACCCGAAGUCCGUGAGGUAACCGUAAGGAGCCAGCGGCCGAAGGUGGGAUUAGUGAUUGGGGUGAAGUCGUAACAAGGUAGCCGUAGGAGAACCUGCGGCUGGAUCACCUCCUUUCUAAGGA